Transfer RNA from Ovis aries (sheep), 72 nucleotides. It matches the Rfam family "tRNA". Rfam says of the family: Transfer RNA (tRNA) molecules are approximately 80 nucleotides in length. Their secondary structure includes four short double-helical elements and three loops (D, anti-codon, and T loops). The record is from Rfam. NCBI's taxonomy places the organism in Eukaryota, Metazoa, Chordata, Mammalia, Artiodactyla, Bovidae.
UCCCUGGUGGCUCAGACAGUAAAGCGUCUGCCUGCAGUUCAGGAGACCCAGGUUCGAUCCCUGGGUUGGGGA